This 464-nucleotide ribosomal RNA is filed under the name uncultured bacterium. Its description in RNAcentral is "partial 16S ribosomal RNA". It matches the Rfam family "Bacterial small subunit ribosomal RNA", at positions 28 to 507 of the family's 1533-position model. The record is from RNAcentral.
GACGAACGCUGGCGGCGUGCUUAACACAUGCAAGUCGAGCGGUAAGGCCCCUUCGGGGGUACACGAGCGGCGAACGGGUGAGUAACACGUGGGUGACCUGCCCUCAGCUCUGUGAUAAGCCUGGGAAACUGGGUCUAAUACCGGAUAUGACCACAUGUUGCAUGGUGUGUGGUGGAAAGUUUUUUCGGCUGGGGAUGGGCCCGCGGCCUAUCAGCUUGUUGGUGGGGUGGUGGCCUACCAAGGCGACGACGGGUAGCCGGCCUGAGAGGGCGACCGGCCACACUGGGACUGAGACACGGCCCAGACUCCUACGGGAGGCAGCAGUGGGGAAUAUUGCGCAAUGGGCGGAAGCCUGACGCAGCGACGCCGCGUGGGGGAUGACGGCCUUCGGGUUGUAAACCGCUUUCGACCGGGACGAAGCGUAAGUGACGGUACCGGUAGAAGAAGCACCGGCUAACUACGUG